GAGUUUGAUCCUGGCUCAGGACGAACGCUGGCGGUAUGCUUAACACAUGCAAGUCGAACGAGAAGGAAGAGCUUGCUCUUCCUGAAAGUGGCGAACAGGUGAGUAACGCGUGGGUAACCUACCCUUUGGAAAGGAAUAGCCUCGGGAAACUGGGAGUAAUGCCUUAUAAGAUACGUUUGUCGCAUGGCAUUUGUAUUAAACGCUCCGGCGCCAUAGGAUGGACCCGCGUCCCAUUAGCUAGUUGGUGAGAUAACAGCUCACCAAGGCCACGAUGGGUAACCGGUCUGAGAGGGCGAACGGUCACACUGGAACUGAGACACGGUCCAGACUCCUACGGGAGGCAGCAGUGGGGAAUAUUGCGCAAUGGGGGCAACCCUGACGCAGCAAUACCGCGUGAGUGAAGAAGGUUUUCGGAUCGUAAAGCUCUGUUAUUGGGGAAGAAAAAAAGACGGUACCCAAGAAGAAAGUUCCGGCUAACUACGUGCCAGCAGCCGCGGUAAUACGUAGGGAACAAGCGUUGUCCGGAUUUACUGGGCGUAAAGGGCACGCAGGCGGUUUUUUAAGUCAGAUGUGAAAGGCCACAGCUCAACUGUGGACAUGCAUUUGAAACUGAAAGACUUGAGUAUUGGAGAGGCAAGUGGAAUUCCUAGUGUAGCGGUGAAAUGC
RNAcentral lists this ribosomal RNA (666 nucleotides) under uncultured bacterium. Its description in RNAcentral is "bacterial SSU rRNA". It matches the Rfam family "Bacterial small subunit ribosomal RNA", at positions 9 to 689 of the family's 1533-position model. The record is from RNAcentral.